This 70-nucleotide transfer RNA is filed under the name Callorhinus ursinus (northern fur seal). RNAcentral describes it as "tRNA-Gly". The record is from RNAcentral. Lineage: Eukaryota; Metazoa; Chordata; Mammalia; Carnivora; Otariidae.
GCUUCCUUAGUAUUAAUUAGUAUAGUUGACUUCCAAUCAACCGGCUCUGGCUACAACCCAGAAGGAAACA